This 572-nucleotide ribosomal RNA is filed under the name Saron marmoratus. RNAcentral describes it as "partial large subunit ribosomal RNA". It matches the Rfam family "Bacterial large subunit ribosomal RNA", at positions 1813 to 2639 of the family's 2925-position model. Lineage: Eukaryota; Metazoa; Arthropoda; Malacostraca; Decapoda; Hippolytidae. The record is from RNAcentral.
AAACAUGUCUCCAUUGAUAAAAAUGUGGAGUCUGGCCUGCCCAUUGAAUAAUAUUUUAAAAGGCCGCAGUAAUUUAACUGUGCGAAGGUAGCAUAAUCAGUAGUCUUUUAAUUGGAGGCUAGAAUGAAGGGUUGGACAAGAAGUUGACUGUCUUUGUGUUGAAUAUUGAAUUUUACUUUUAAGUGAAAAGGCUUAGAUGGGUUCAAGGGACGAUAAGACCCUAUAAAAUUUGAACAAAUUAAUUUUAAUGUAUGGAAUUAGAGGUAUAAAUCAAAGUUGGGUGAUUUUUGUUUUGUUGGGGUGACAAAGAUAUAAAGUAAAGUUAGAAACUGUCUUUGUAUAUGGAAUAAAUUUAUUUAGUGUAGUAUGAUCCUUUAGUGAGGAUUAGAAGAUUAAAUUACUUUAGGGAUAACAGCGUAAUUGUUUCUGAGAGUCCUUAUCGACGAAAUUAGUUGCGACCUCGAUGUUGAAUUAAAGUUUCUUUCAAAUGUAGCAGUUUGGGUUGGUGGGUCUGUUCGACCUUAAAACUUUACAUGAUUUGAGUUCAAACCGGUGUGAGCCAGGUGUUUUUU